GGGGUCGACAUGGUUUCGACGUGGAUUACAAAGCAUCAAGGGCAUACCGAGGACCCGUUAUCUCGUAAAUCAAUGGGAAUGUAAUAACUGCUAACGACGAACGUUACGCACUAGCCGCUUAAUUGCGGUUGCCCCUGAACUGAUUCUCUCUUGGGUCAGGUAGCGAAAGCUACAUCAGGGUCAUUUACAAGAGAUAAGACUAGCUCGCGUCACGAGGGAUAGUUCGAAAAAUUUAGUGAAUCGCUGGUGUGGAACAUGUCAAUCUGUGACUAACCGGCUAAAUUAAAUGAUAUGACUAAGUAUGUAGAACUUGCUGUAGAGGAUUUGCGGACGCGGGUUCGAUUCCCGCCGACUCCACCA
Molecule: non-coding RNA, 360 nt
Organism: Polynucleobacter sp.
Lineage: Bacteria; Pseudomonadati; Pseudomonadota; Betaproteobacteria; Burkholderiales; Burkholderiaceae
Source: Rfam